RNAcentral lists this unclassified non-coding RNA (446 nucleotides) under Hevea brasiliensis (rubber tree). Lineage: Eukaryota; Viridiplantae; Streptophyta; Magnoliopsida; Malpighiales; Euphorbiaceae. The record is from RNAcentral.
GAAGAAGAACGUGCAGCACAUAAUGCUACCAAAAUGGCAGCUAUGGAAAGGGAAGUGGAAUUGGAACAUAGAGCUGUUGAGGCAUCCACAGCCCUUGCUAGAGUCCAGAGAAUUGCUGAUGAGAGAACAACAAAGGCAGCAGAACUUGAGCAGAAAGUGGCACUGCUUGAGUUUGAGUGUGCAUCAUUAAAUCAAGAGUUGCAAGAUCUGGAAGCUCGCACUCGUCGUGAACAAAAGAAGUCCUCAGAAGAGGCAAAUCAAGUGAUUCAGAUCCAGGCUUGGCAGGAAGAAGUGGAGCGUGCACGUCAAGGUCAGAGGGAUGCUGAGAGCAAGCUUUCUUCUAUGGAGGCUGAAGUGCAAAAGAUGAGGGUUGAAUUGGCUGCCAUGAAGAGGGACGCUGAGCACUAUUCACGGCAGGAGCACAUGGAGCUGGAGAAGCGCUACCG